This 406-nucleotide ribosomal RNA is filed under the name uncultured bacterium. RNAcentral's name for it is "partial 16S ribosomal RNA". It matches the Rfam family "Bacterial small subunit ribosomal RNA", at positions 355 to 778 of the family's 1533-position model. The record is from RNAcentral.
UGGGGAAUAUUGGACAAUGGGGGCAACCCUGAUCCAGCAAUGCCGCGUGUGUGAAGAAGGUUUUCGGAUUGUAAAGCACUUUCGGCGGGGACGAUGAUGACGGUACCCGCAGAAGAAGCCCCGGCUAACUUCGUGCCAGCAGCCGCGGUAAUACGAAGGGGGCUAGCGUUGCUCGGAAUGACUGGGCGUAAAGGGCGUGUAGGCGGUUUGUACAGUCAGAUGUGAAAUCCCCGGGCUUAACCUGGGAGCCGCAUUUGAGACGUGCAGACUAGAGUGUGAGAGAGGGUUGUGGAAUUCCCAGUGUAGAGGUGAAAUUCGUAGAUAUUGGGAAGAACACCGGUGGCGAAGGCGGCAACCUGGCUCAUUACUGACGCUGAGGCGCGAAAGCGUGGGGAGCAAACAGGAU